RNAcentral lists this ribosomal RNA (495 nucleotides) under uncultured bacterium. RNAcentral describes it as "partial 16S ribosomal RNA". It matches the Rfam family "Bacterial small subunit ribosomal RNA", at positions 28 to 507 of the family's 1533-position model. The record is from RNAcentral.
GACGAACGCUGGCGGCGUGCCUAAUACAUGCAAGUAGAACGCUGAAGGAGGAGCUUGCUUCUCUGGAUGAGUUGCGAACGGGUGAGUAACGCGUAGGUAGCCUGCCUGGUAGCGGGGGAUAACUAUUGGAAACGAUAGCUAAUACCGCAUAACAGUAGAUAUCGCAUGAUAUCUACUUGAAAGGUGCAAUUGCAUCACUACCAGAUGGACCUGCGUUGUAUUAGCUAGUUGGUGAGGUAACGGCUCACCAAGGCGACGAUACAUAGCCGACCUGAGAGGGUGAUCGGCCACACUGGGACUUAGACACGGCCCAGACUCCUACGGGAGGCAGCAGUAGGGAAUCUUCGGCAAUGGACGGAAGUCUGACCGAGCAACGCCGCGUGAGUGAAGAAGGUUUUCGGAUCGUAAAGCUCUGUUGUAAGAGAAGAACGAGUGUGAGAGUGGAAAGUUCACACUGUGACGGUAUCUUACCAGAAAGGGACGGCUAACUACGUG